RNAcentral lists this ribosomal RNA (328 nucleotides) under uncultured eukaryote. Its description in RNAcentral is "partial 18S ribosomal RNA". It matches the Rfam family "Eukaryotic small subunit ribosomal RNA", at positions 1470 to 1796 of the family's 1831-position model. The record is from RNAcentral.
CCCUUAGAUGUCCUGGGCCGCACGCGCGCUACAAUGAUGCAACCAACGAGUGCUGCUCCUUGGCCGAGAGGCCCGGGGAACCUUGCAAACUGCAUCGUGCUGGGGAUAGAUGAUUGCAAUUCUUCAUCUUGAACGAGGAAUGCCUUGUAAGCGUGAGUCAUCAACUCGCGCUGAAUACGUCCCUGCCCUUUGUACACACCGCCCGUCGCUCCUACCGAUUGAAUGAUCCGAUGAAUAUCAUGGAUUGAGGAUGCAAGCAGGUUCGCCUGUCUUCAUCUUCGAGAAGUGAAGUAAAUCUUAUCAUUUAGAGGAAGGAGAAGUCGUAACA